This 468-nucleotide ribosomal RNA is filed under the name uncultured bacterium. RNAcentral describes it as "partial 16S ribosomal RNA". It matches the Rfam family "Bacterial small subunit ribosomal RNA", at positions 28 to 507 of the family's 1533-position model. The record is from RNAcentral.
GACGAACGCUGGCGGCGUGCUUAACACAUGCAAGUCGAACGGAAAGGCCCUGCUUUUGUGGGGUGCUCGAGUGGCGAACGGGUGAGUAACACGUGAGUAACCUGCCCUUGACUUUGGGAUAACUUCAGGAAACUGGGGCUAAUACCGGAUAGGAGCUCCUGCUGCAUGGUGGGGGUUGGAAAGUUUCGGCGGUUGGGGAUGGACUCGCGGCUUAUCAGCUUGUUGGUGGGGUAGUGGCUUACCAAGGCUUUGACGGGUAGCCGGCCUGAGAGGGUGACCGGCCACAUUGGGACUGAGAUACGGCCCAGACUCCUACGGGAGGCAGCAGUGGGGAAUAUUGCACAAUGGGCGGAAGCCUGAUGCAGCAACGCCGCGUGCGGGAUGACGGCCUUCGGGUUGUAACCCGCUUUCGCCUGUGACGAAGCGCGAGUGACGGUAAUGGGUAAAGAAGCACCGGCUAACUACGUG